AAGCUACCCUUUGACGAAUGCAAGCAAGCUAGCUUGCUUACUCUCCUAGUAGCGUACGUUGGCGGCAAAAACAAAGACGACUAUACUAAACUAAAGUAAAGAGGCAUUCGGGAAGCGACUAGUCGCUUCUGGCGAAGCUUCUAGAAGGCCGACCACUACAUAGAGAGUACCAGUCAUGAGCUAUCGCUCAUGCCUAGAGAGGCGGAAGCAGUAGCUUCUAGGACGAAGCCGAGCCGAUACGAUAGGCGGGCG
RNAcentral lists this long non-coding RNA (252 nucleotides) under Olea europaea (common olive). RNAcentral describes it as "long non-coding RNA (OEUR_LNC014058)". The record is from RNAcentral. Lineage: Eukaryota; Viridiplantae; Streptophyta; Magnoliopsida; Lamiales; Oleaceae.